AAACAUAUCAACUCUUUUGAACAUAAUAAUCAACUUUUAUAAUAAAAGGUUAAGGUGUAAAACACCGACAAAAGAACUCUUCCAAUGAGUCAAAAGUAAUUAGUACAUAAUCCAAAACAACUAUAUUACCAAUAUCCAAAACAAACUACAUUAACAAUAAAAACAUAAAACAUAGUAAUCAUAAAAUAAAAAAAAAUCUUCACUUUAUAGACAUCCUCUACUCCUCAUC
This 229-nucleotide long non-coding RNA is filed under the name Lathyrus oleraceus (garden pea). RNAcentral describes it as "Pisum sativum (pea) long non-coding RNA (PSAT_LNC029447)". The record is from RNAcentral. Lineage: Eukaryota; Viridiplantae; Streptophyta; Magnoliopsida; Fabales; Fabaceae.